RNAcentral lists this ribosomal RNA (449 nucleotides) under uncultured bacterium. RNAcentral describes it as "partial 16S ribosomal RNA". It matches the Rfam family "Bacterial small subunit ribosomal RNA", at positions 329 to 793 of the family's 1533-position model. The record is from RNAcentral.
CGCCAGACUCCUACGGGAGGCAGCAGUGGGGGAUAUUGCACAAUGGGGGAAACCCUGAUGCAGCGACGCCGCGUGGGCGAAGAAGUAUUUCGGUAUGUAAAGCCUUAUCAGCAGGGAAGAAGAAAUGACGGUACCUGAGUAAGAAGCACCGGCUAAAUACGUGCCAGCAGCCGCGGUAAUACGUAUGGUGCAAGCGUUAUCCGGAUUUACUGGGUGUAAAGGGAGCGCAGGCGGCACGGCAAGCCAGAUGUGAAAGCCCGGGGCUCAACCCCGGGACUGCAUUUGGAACUGUGCUGCUAGAGUGUCGGAGAGGCAGGCGGAAUUCCUAGUGUAGCGGUGAAAUGCGUAGAUAUUAGGAGGAACACCAGUGGCGAAGGCGGCCUGCUGGACGAUGACUGACGUUGAGGCUCGAAAGCGUGGGGAGCAAACAGGAUUAGAUACCCGCGUAC